Long non-coding RNA from Carya illinoinensis, 756 nucleotides. RefSeq lists it as uncharacterized. Lineage: Eukaryota; Viridiplantae; Streptophyta; Magnoliopsida; Fagales; Juglandaceae. The record is from RefSeq and is a predicted model, not a curated record. The transcript is spliced from 2 exons.
CAUAGGAAAAAAAAUUUCGAGCUUCUCCCCAAGCCUCAGCUGUCUCCACUUCUCUCUCUCUCUCUCUCUCUCUGUGAAACAUUUUUGUAUUUUUGACCUGGUCUGAGUUCUAAACUCUACUCUACUUCAACAUGUGAAGUUCUUAACGGCCUUUUACUCCCCCUAUUUUCAAAAAAUUCCCUCCCAAUCGACUCAAAUUGGACGAAGCCCACAAAGAACUAGAAGUUCACCCAGUAUAAUCUCAAAGAUUCUGCUUUCAAAUCGGUUUGUAUAAGCUUUUUGCUUAUUUUCUUCCAUGGCGAAGUGGGUUGCGCUGGUUGAAGGGAUUUUCUGGUCGAAGUGGGUUCGUCUGUCGUGAAGGCAAUAUCUUUUCUUUUUUGUUGGUGGGUCUGAUCUGGAGCUUCUUCAAUAGUGCCGGAGGUCAUGCGGCUAAGUGGGUUGCACCAGUUUGAAGGAAUUUUCUGGUCACAGUGGCUUUUCUAUAGGUGGGUCCCCAAGGUUUCAUCUCUUCCACUAUGGUGUGAUGUGGAUCAAAAUAUUUCUAUGUGCUUAGCUAAAGUGUCAUUUGUUGGCACAAGUCAUGUAAUUAGCCAGCUAUGGAAAUCUCAGAUUUAGGAAUCCCUUCAAUCAAGGGUCAAACAUGAUUAUAGCCGUAGAUAUUGUAUAGACGAAGAAUAGCUUCCUAAAAUAGUUUCUUGUAUCUCUAUAUCUUGUACUCUAUUUUAUGGAAUAAACACAAAAAAAUUACGUUUGACA